GACGAACGCUGGCGGCGUGCUUAACACAUGCAAGUCGAACGGAAAGGCCCUGCUUUUGUGGGGUGCUCGAGUGGCGAACGGGUGAGUAACACGUGAGUAACCUGCCCUUGACUUUGGGAUAACUUCAGGAAACUGGGGCUAAAACCGGAUAGGAGCUCCUGCUGCAUGGUGGGGGUUGGAAAGUUUCGGCGGUUGGGGCUGGACUCGCGGCUUAUCAGCUUGUUGGUGGGGUAGGGGCUUACCAAGGCUUUGACGGGUAGCCGGCCUGAGAGGGUGACCGGCCACAUUGGGACUGCGAUACGGCCCAGACUCCUACGGGAGGCAGCAGUGGGGAAUAUUGCACAAUGGGCCGACGCCUGAUGCAGCAACGCCGCGUGCGGGAUGACGGCCUUCGGGUUGUAAACCGCUUUCGCCUUUGACGAAGCGUGAGUGACGGUAAUGGGUAAGGAAGCACCGGCUAACUACGUG
This 468-nucleotide ribosomal RNA is filed under the name uncultured bacterium. RNAcentral's name for it is "partial 16S ribosomal RNA". It matches the Rfam family "Bacterial small subunit ribosomal RNA", at positions 28 to 507 of the family's 1533-position model. The record is from RNAcentral.